GAUGAACGCUGGCGGCGUGCCUAACACAUGCAAGUCGAGCGGACGGACGAGGCUUUUGCUUGUCUGAUGUUAGGGGCGGGGGGGUGAGUCACAUGAGUAUACCCUACCUAUAAGACUGAGAUCACUACGGGACAGCGGAUAUAACACGGGAUGAGCUUCUGAAGCGCGGGGGUCGUCGGAAAGAGACGGUCUUGCUGGCACUUAUCGAGGGUUCCGGGCUGCAUGAGCUAGUUGGUACGGUAACGGCCUACCAAGGCUACGCUGCAUAGACGACCUGAGAGGGUGAUCGGCCACACUAGAACUGAGACACGGUCCAGGCUCCUACGAGAGGCAGCAGUAGGGAAUGUUACGCAAUGGGCGAAAGCCUGACGCAGCAACGCCGCGUGUGUGAUGAAGGUCUUCGGAUCGUAAAGCUCUGUUACUGGGGAAGAACAGAUGUGUAAGUAGCCGUGGCGAUCUUGACGGUACCUAAUCAAAAAGCACCGGCUAACUACGUG
This 497-nucleotide ribosomal RNA is filed under the name uncultured bacterium. Its description in RNAcentral is "partial 16S ribosomal RNA". It matches the Rfam family "Bacterial small subunit ribosomal RNA", at positions 28 to 507 of the family's 1533-position model. The record is from RNAcentral.